CCCUUAGAUGUCCUGGGCCGCACGCGCGUUACACUGAUGCAUUCAACGAGCAUAUAACCUUGGCCGAGAGGCCUGGGUAAUCUUGUUAACAUGCAUCGUGAUAGGGAUAGAUUAUUGCAAUUAUUAAUCUUGAACGAGGAAUUCCUAGUAAUCGCAGUUCAUCAAACUGCAAUGAUUACGUCCCUGCCCUUUGUACACACCGCCCGUCGCACCUACCGAUUGAAUGGUCCGGUGAGGACUCGGGAUUGUGGUUUAGCUCCUUCAUUGGGGCCUGACUGCGAGAACUUGUCCGAACCUUNUNAUUUAGNGGAAGGUGAANUCGUANCA
This 327-nucleotide ribosomal RNA is filed under the name uncultured eukaryote. Its description in RNAcentral is "partial 18S ribosomal RNA". It matches the Rfam family "Eukaryotic small subunit ribosomal RNA", at positions 1470 to 1796 of the family's 1831-position model. The record is from RNAcentral.